AAAAGUCGUAACAAGGCAUCCNAAGAAGCGCCGGCGCAAGGAUCAUUAUCGAANNNNNNNNNNNNNNNNNNNUCGCUGACUUUUGUCGUGACGCGCGNAGCGCUCUCACACAUCCAUCUCACCCCUAUGUGCACCACCGCGUGGGUCUCCUUUUCGGCUUGUUCCGAGGGGGGGCUCGCGUUUUCACACAAACUUGAUGCAGUGUAGAAUGUCUUUACUUUGCGAUCACACGCAGUCAAUUACAACUUUCAACAACGGAUCUCUUGGCUCUCGCAUCGAUGAAGAACGCAGCGAAAUGCGAUACGUAAUGUGAAUUGCAGAAUUCAGUGAAUCAUCGAAUCUUUGAACGCACCUUGCGCCCCUUGGCAUUCCGAGGGGCACACCCGUUUGAGUGUCGUGAAAUUCUCAAAACCUUUCUUUGGUCUUUCGAUCGGAGAAGGAUUUUGGACUUGGAGGCCUUUUUGCUGGUUUCACCUCGAGGCCGGCUCCUCCUAAAUGGAUUAGUGGGGUCUGCUUUGCCGAUCCUUGACGUGAUAAGAUGUUUCUACGUCUUGGAUUUGGCACUGUCUCUCGGACACCUGCUUCUAACCGUCUCAUCGACGGCGGUGGCGUUCCGGUCACCACCGUUUCAUCGGUGGGAGGCUUGACCCACGGAAAANCUUUGNCCUUAAUCGGGUGGGGCUACCCGUGAACU
This 694-nucleotide ribosomal RNA is filed under the name Russula helodes. Its description in RNAcentral is "eukaryotic LSU rRNA". The stretch from base 244 to 397 matches the Rfam family "5.8S ribosomal RNA". Lineage: Eukaryota; Fungi; Basidiomycota; Agaricomycetes; Russulales; Russulaceae. The record is from RNAcentral.